RNAcentral lists this ribosomal RNA (465 nucleotides) under uncultured bacterium. RNAcentral describes it as "bacterial SSU rRNA". It matches the Rfam family "Bacterial small subunit ribosomal RNA", at positions 338 to 795 of the family's 1533-position model. The record is from RNAcentral.
CCUACGGGUUGCAGCAGUGGGGAAUAUUGCACAAUGGGCGCAAGCCUGACGCAGCCUUGCCGCGUGUGUGAAGAAGGCCUUCGGGUUGUAAAGCACUUUCAGCGGGGAGGAAGGCGUAAAGGUUAAUAACCUUAGCGAUUGACGUUACCCGCAGAAGAAGCACCGGCUAACUCCGUGCCAGCAGCCGCGGUAAUACGGAGGGUGCAAGCGUUAAUCGGAAUUACUGGGCGUAAAGCGCACGCAGGCGGUCUGUCGAGUCGGAUGUGAAAUCCCCGGGCUCAACCUGGGAUCUGCAUUCGAAACUGGCAGGCCAGAGUCUUGUAGAGGGGGGUAGAAUUCCAGGUGUAGCGGUGAAAUGCGUAGAGAUCUGGAGGAAUACCGGUGGCGAAGGCGGCCCCCUGGACAAAGACUGACGCUCAGGUGCGAAAGCGUGGGGAGCAAACAGGAUUAGAUACCCUCGUAGUC